GACGAAGGGGGCUAGCGUUGUUCGGAAUUACUGGGCGUAAAGGGCGUGUAGGCGGUUAUUCUAGUCGGGGGUGAAAGCCUUGAGCUCAACUCAAGAAAUGCACUCGGUACUGGGUGACUAGAGGACCGGAGAGGAUAGUGGAAUUCCCAGUGUAGUGGUGAAAUACGUAGAGAUUGGGAAGAACACCAGUGGCGAAGGCGGCUAUCUGGACGGUUUCUGACGCUAAGACGCGAAAGCGUGGGGAGCAAACAGG
Molecule: ribosomal RNA, 253 nt
Filed under: uncultured bacterium
Lineage: Bacteria
Description: partial 16S ribosomal RNA
Rfam family: Bacterial small subunit ribosomal RNA
Source: RNAcentral